AUUGAACGCUGGCGGCAGGCCUAACACAUGCAAGUCGAGCGAGCGGCGGACGGGUGAGUAAUAUCUGGGAAACUGCCUGAUGGAGGGGGAUAACUACUGGAAACGGUAGCUAAUACCGCAUACCAUCGGAUGUGCCCAGAUGGGAUUAGCUGGUAGGGGGGGUAAUGGCUCACCUAGGCGACGAUCCCUCGCUGGUCGGUGAGGAUGACCAGCCACACUGGAACUGAGACACGGUCCAGACUCCUACGGGAGGCAGCAGUGGGGAAUAUUGCACAAUGGGCGCAAGCCUGAUGCAGCCAUGCCGCGUGUGUGAAGAAGGCCUUCGGGUUGUAAAGCACUUUCAGCGAGGAGGCGUUACCCGCAGAAGAAGCACCGGCUAACUCCGUGCCAGCAGCCGCGGUAAUAC
RNAcentral lists this ribosomal RNA (406 nucleotides) under uncultured bacterium. RNAcentral describes it as "partial 16S ribosomal RNA". It matches the Rfam family "Bacterial small subunit ribosomal RNA", at positions 30 to 526 of the family's 1533-position model. The record is from RNAcentral.